Molecule: ribosomal RNA, 465 nt
Filed under: uncultured bacterium
Lineage: Bacteria
Description: bacterial SSU rRNA
Rfam family: Bacterial small subunit ribosomal RNA
Source: RNAcentral
GGGCCCGCACAAGCGGUGGAGGAUGUGGUUCAAUUCGAUGCAACGCGAAAAACCUUACCUGGGCUUGACAUACCGCGCUACCCUAUGAAAGUAGGGGUUCCCUUCGGGGACGCGGAUACAGGUGCUGCAUGGCUGUCGUCAGCUCGUGUCGUGAGAUGUUGGGUUAAGUCCCGCAACGAGCGCAACCCUUGCCAUUAGUUGCCAGCAUUAAGUUGGGCACUCUAAUGGGACCGCUUGCCGAUAAGGCAGAGGAAGGUGGGGAUGACGUCAAGUCCGCAUGGCCCUUACGUCCAGGGCCACACACGUCCUACAAUGACCGGCACAAAGCGAUGCUAAGCCGCGAGGCAGAGCUAACCGCAGAAAACCGGCCUAAGUUCGGAUUGGAGUCUGCAACUCGACUCCAUGAAGUUGGAAUCGCUAGUAAUCGUGGAUCAGCAUGCCACGGUGAAUACGUUCCCGGGCCUU